GUAUAUUUUAUUUAUUGUUUAAUAAUUGAGUUGUAUUUUACUUAUUAAUUUUUAACCCUAAUUUUAUAGGAGGGACCAAAAAGCAUAUCCGUGUUUAAGAGGUCAACUAGAACCACGAGCUCAGUAGAAGCUUAUAAUUUGAAUUUGGGAAAUAAAAUUCAAACAAAUGGGCACUUUUUUAAAUUUGUUCAAUGUCUUAUUGAUGCAGAAUAUGAAAAAAGUCGCGAGUUUGCUUUACUCUUUCAAAAUGGUGGUAAUGGAAAUCAGACACAGAAGAAGAAACUACGUGAUCGCUCAAAAAAAAUAAUGGACGCAAUGGAUCUUUUUGAAAGAGGUGAAAUAGAUAUACAGGGAUUUCUGACAUGCACUGUUUCCUUAGCUGACCGCUUUUCAAAGCAUGACUUCUUUGAAGGGGUGGACAAUGAAAGCAAUUUAACUGGAAUGUCUUCUGAUAUGAAAUCUUCCACAUCGUCACUUUCAUCGAAUGCUUCUCAUUCAAGUCAGUCAUCUGAUAAAUCAUUGGUUCAAAUGAAUCCAUGCAAUGUGUGCCUAUGUAACCCAAAGUCUGUGUUGUUGCGCCCGUGCAAUCACGUAAACAUUUGUGGUACAUGUUGGGAUCAAAUUGUGGC
Molecule: long non-coding RNA, 629 nt
Organism: Drosophila miranda
Lineage: Eukaryota; Metazoa; Arthropoda; Insecta; Diptera; Drosophilidae
Exons: 2
Source: RefSeq, a predicted model, not a curated record